AUCCUGGCUCAGGAUGAACGCUGGCGGCGUGCCUAACACAUGCAAGUCGAGCGAUCUUCUUCGGAAGAGAGCGGCGGACGGGUGAGUAACGCGUGGGUAACCUGCCCUGUACACACGGAUAACAUACCGAAAGGCAUGCUAAUACGAGAUAAUAUACUUUUAUCGCAUGGUAGAAGUAUCAAAGCUCCGGCGGUACAGGAUGGACCCGCGUCUGAUUAGCUAGUUGGUGAGGUAACGGCUCACCAAGGCGACGAUCAGUAGCCGACCUGAGAGGGUGAUCGGCCACAUUGGAACUGAGACACGGUCCAAACUCCUACGGGAGGCAGCAGAAGGG
This 334-nucleotide ribosomal RNA is filed under the name uncultured Clostridium sp. RNAcentral's name for it is "bacterial SSU rRNA". It matches the Rfam family "Bacterial small subunit ribosomal RNA", at positions 16 to 359 of the family's 1533-position model. The record is from RNAcentral. Lineage: Bacteria; Bacillati; Bacillota; Clostridia; Eubacteriales; Clostridiaceae.